AUUGAACGCUGGCGGCAUGCCUUACACAUGCAAGUCGAACGGCAGCACGGGUGCUUGCCCCUGGUGGCGAGUGGCGAACGGGUGAGUAAUACAUCGGAACAUGUCCUGUAGUGGGGGAUAGCCCGGCGAAAGCCGGAUUAAUACCGCAUACGAUCUACGGAUGAAAGCGGGGGACCUUCUGGCCUCGCGCUAUAGGGUUGGCCGAUGGCUGAUUAGCUAGUUGGUGGGGUAAAGGCCUACCAAGGCGACGAUCAGUAGCUGGUCUGAGAGGACGACCAGCCACACUGGGACUGAGACACGGCCCAGACUCCUACGGGAGGCAGCAGUGGGGAAUUUUGGACAAUGGGCGAAAGCCUGAUCCAGCAAUGCCGCGUGUGUGAAGAAGGCCUUCGGGUUGUAAAGCACUUUUGUCCGGAAAGAAAUCCUUGGCCCUAAUACGGUCGGGGGAUGACGGUACCGGAAGAAUAAGCACCGGCUAACUACGUG
Molecule: ribosomal RNA, 486 nt
Filed under: uncultured bacterium
Lineage: Bacteria
Description: partial 16S ribosomal RNA
Rfam family: Bacterial small subunit ribosomal RNA
Source: RNAcentral